AAGUCGUAACAAGGUUUCCGUAGCUGAACCUGCGGAAGGAUCAUUAACACGUAUCCAAACGUUAAAACCCCCCCCGUGAACCUUCAUCCUGCUCUUGUAACCCGCGUAGUUCGCAAUCUCUGAUAAAUCAUAGCCCGGAAAGUUGUAGUGAUUCAGAGACCUCUGGCUACGUGCGAGUUUCCCCAAGCAGUCAGUGUCGGAAAGUGUCAUUGAUUGUGCAAGGAUAGCGCUUCUACGAUUCCUGUAGACCGUACACUCGGGCAGGAGCUUUGCCAAAGGGUCCCCAUGCCCCCUAAUAACCCCACAGUUUAAUGUGAAGCUCAAUGUAAUAUAAUGGGUAAAAAAACCGAACAACUGUUAACAAUGGAUAUCUUGGUUCUC
RNAcentral lists this unclassified non-coding RNA (381 nucleotides) under fungal sp. RNAcentral's name for it is "partial internal transcribed spacer region". The stretch from base 1 to 46 matches the Rfam family "Eukaryotic small subunit ribosomal RNA", at positions 1786 to 1831 of the family's 1831-position model. Lineage: Eukaryota; Fungi. The record is from RNAcentral.